UAUGGGUGAGUCGAUCCU
This 18-nucleotide unclassified non-coding RNA is filed under the name Dictyostelium discoideum. The record is from RNAcentral. Lineage: Eukaryota; Evosea; Eumycetozoa; Dictyosteliales; Dictyosteliaceae.